GAUGAACGCUGGCGGCGUGCCUAAUACAUGCAAGUCGAGCGAACAGACGAGGAGCUUGCUCCUCUGACGUUAGCGGCGGACGGGUGAGUAACACGUGGAUAACCUACCUAUAAGACUGGGAUAACUUCGGGAAACCGGAGCUAAUACCGGAUAAUAUAUUGAACCGCAUGGUUCAAUAGUGAAAGACGGUUUUGCUGUCACUUAUAGAUGGAUCCGCGCCGCAUUAGCUAGUUGGUAAGGUAACGGCUUACCAAGGCAACGAUGCGUAGCCGACCUGAGAGGGUGAUCGGCCACACUGGAAGUGAGACACGGUCCAGACUCCUACGGGAGGCAGCAGUAGGGAAUCUUCCGCAAUGGGCGAAAGCUUGACGGAGCAACGCCGCGUGAGUGAUGAAGGUCUUCGGAUCGUAAAACUCUGUUAUUAGGGAAGAACAAAUGUGUAAGUAACUAUGCACGUCUUGACGGUACCUAAUCAGAAAGCCACGGCUAACUACGUG
Molecule: ribosomal RNA, 497 nt
Filed under: uncultured bacterium
Lineage: Bacteria
Description: partial 16S ribosomal RNA
Rfam family: Bacterial small subunit ribosomal RNA
Source: RNAcentral